GUCCUGCUUCUCCACACAUCGGUGGUGCCCGACAAAUAUGAAUCAUUUGCUGAUUCGUUUGGCUCUGUUGGCCCCGGGCAAGCACGUGGUGAAGGCGGUCGGUCUGCAGACGCUGAAGCGCUUACAAAGGAACCGUGCCCGGCUUACCCGGCAGGUGGCACAGAGCGGGUGCUAAGCCCGUGGGCGCUCUUACUGGAGACAAACGUACAUUGUGAAAGUGUUCCCUCCCCUUGUCCCCUUCGGGCCCACAGCCGCCACGCCACUGCAGCCUGGAGACCGUACCUUCGGGAAAACUCCAUCGCCCACAACUUCCAUUUCUGGCGGAGUGGGAGGUGUACCCACACAAACUCCCCGUUCCCUCGCCUUGUCUCCCGCCUGCAUCAGCCCCAGCAUAUUGUGUGGCUUCUUCCCCUGAUGGGCUUUCCUUGGCCUGGAAGAUACCGGAGACAGACAAAACAGGUCCUGGGAGACUUGGGGAGGGGUGUGCGCGGGGAGAACGCUGUCUUCCUGAGUAAAUGAAGCAUGGAAGUUCAUUAGGACCAUAGAGAAGUGUUAACAGAGGAAACCCGGCCCUGGGAGCUCCGGUGGAUUGUAACAGAAACGAUGUCAGGGAAGCCAGUGAUCCAGGGGCAGUGUGCAAGUGCAGCUGUGACAGGCGACCUGAAGGACAAUGCAGAGCUUGGCGAGCCCGCAAUGUGUGCGAUUCACUGGGAAAGAGACAUGUCUCGGAUCCGAGGACAAGGACCACUCGUACGAAGGAAGAGGUGAGCCAGAUGCUGCGGGAGGCUCCAUGCGGGAUUGAGAAUGACGUCAACACAAAGGCAGGAAAACCAGGAAGCUGUGGAGUUGACGCUGUUUGAGCCUUGCA
Molecule: long non-coding RNA, 868 nt
Organism: Molossus molossus (Pallas's mastiff bat)
Lineage: Eukaryota; Metazoa; Chordata; Mammalia; Chiroptera; Molossidae
Exons: 4
Source: RefSeq, a predicted model, not a curated record